ACGGUCCUAAGGUAGCGAAAUUCCUUGUCGGGUAAGUUCCGACCUGCACGAAUGGCAUAACGAUGGCCACACUGUCUCCUCCCGAGACUCAGUGAAGUUGAAAUGUUUGUGAUGAUGCAAUCUACCCGCGGCUAGACGGAAAGACCCCAUGAACCUUUACUGCAGCUUUGCAUUGAACUGUGAACCGAUUUGUGUAGGAUAGGUGGGAGGCAGAGAAGAGGCCACGCCAGUGGCCUUGGAGCCGACCUUGAAAUACCACCCUGAUUUGUUUGCGGUUCUAACCACGGACAGUUAUCCUGUCUUGGGACCGUGCAUGGUAGGCAGUUUGACUGGGGCGGUCUCCUCCUAAAGGGUAACGGAGGAGUACGAAGGUACGCUAGGUACGGUCGGAAAUCGUGCUGAUAGUGCAAUGGCAAAAGCGUGCUUGACUGCGAGAGCAACAACUCGAGCAGAUGCGAAAGCAGGUCAUAGUGAUCCGGUGGCUCUGAAUGGAAGGGCCAUCGCUCAACGGAUAAAAGGUACUCUGGGGAUAACAGGCUGAUACCGCCCAAGAGUUCAUAUCGACGGCGGUGUUUGGCACCUCGAUGUCGGCUCAUCUCAUCCUGGGGCUGUAGUCGGUCCCAAGGGUAUGGCUGUUCGCCAUUUAAAGAGGUACGUGAGCUGGGUUUAAAACGUCGUGAGACAGUUUGGUCCCUAUCUGCCGUGGGCGUUGGAAGAUUGACGGGGGCUGCUCCUAGUACGAGAGGACCGGAGUGGACGCACCUCUGGUGUACCGGUUGUCACGCCAGUGGCAUUGCCGGGUAGCUAAGUGCGGAAGAGAUAACCGCUGAAAGCAUCUAAGCGGGAAACUUGCCUGAAGAUGAGUCUUCCCGGAGGUUGAACCUCCCUCAAGAGUCGUCCGAGACCAGGACGUCGAUAGGUCAGGUGUGUAAGCGCUGUGAGGCGUUGAGCUAACUGAUACUAAUUGCUCGUGAGGCUUGAUCCU
RNAcentral lists this ribosomal RNA (985 nucleotides) under human gut metagenome. Its description in RNAcentral is "bacterial LSU rRNA". It matches the Rfam family "Bacterial large subunit ribosomal RNA", at positions 1945 to 2925 of the family's 2925-position model. The record is from RNAcentral.